UACGUAGGGGGCAAGCGUUUGUCCGGAUUUAUUGGGCGUAAAGAGCUUGUAGCGUUGUUCGCGUCUGCGUGAAAUCGGGACGUCAACCCCGUGACUUGCAGUGGGUACGGGCAGACUAGAGUGUGGUAGGGGAGACUGGAAUUCCUGGUGUAGCGGUGAAAUGCGCAGAUAUCAGGAGGAACACCGAUGGCGAAGGCAGGUCUCUGGGCCACUACUGACGCUGAG
This 225-nucleotide ribosomal RNA is filed under the name uncultured bacterium. RNAcentral's name for it is "partial 16S ribosomal RNA". It matches the Rfam family "Bacterial small subunit ribosomal RNA", at positions 524 to 750 of the family's 1533-position model. The record is from RNAcentral.